Molecule: transfer RNA, 73 nt
Filed under: Paludibacteraceae bacterium
Lineage: Bacteria; Pseudomonadati; Bacteroidota; Bacteroidia; Bacteroidales; Paludibacteraceae
Also listed under: 1 other name
Description: tRNA-Ala
Rfam family: tRNA
About the family: Transfer RNA (tRNA) molecules are approximately 80 nucleotides in length. Their secondary structure includes four short double-helical elements and three loops (D, anti-codon, and T loops).
Source: RNAcentral
GGGCUCAUAGCUCAGUUGGUAGAGCGUUUGCUUUGCAAGCAAAGGGUCCGGAGUUCGAGUCUCCGUGGGUCCA